This 301-nucleotide ribosomal RNA is filed under the name uncultured bacterium. Its description in RNAcentral is "partial 16S ribosomal RNA". It matches the Rfam family "Bacterial small subunit ribosomal RNA", at positions 509 to 808 of the family's 1533-position model. The record is from RNAcentral.
CAGCAGCCGCGGUAAUACGUAGGUGGCGAGCGUUGUCCGGAAUUAUUGGGCGUAAAGGGCGCGCAGGCGGUUUAGUAAGUCUGAAGUUAAAGGCAGUGGCUCAACCAUUGUACGCUUUGGAAACUGUUUAACUUGAGUGCAGGAGGGGAGAGUGGAAUUCCAUGUGUAGCGGUGAAAUGCGUAGAUAUAUGGAGGAACACCGGUGGCGAAAGCGGCUCUCUGGUCUGUAACUGACGCUGAGGCUCGAAAGCGUGGGGAGCAAACAGGAUUAGAUACCCCCGUAGUCCCUGUCUCUUAUACA